This 253-nucleotide ribosomal RNA is filed under the name uncultured bacterium. RNAcentral's name for it is "partial 16S ribosomal RNA". It matches the Rfam family "Bacterial small subunit ribosomal RNA", at positions 524 to 776 of the family's 1533-position model. The record is from RNAcentral.
GACGAGGGGUCCUAGCGUUGUUCGGAAUCAUUGGGCGUAAAGCGUGUGUAGGCGGCCUUGUAAGUCAGUUGUGAAAGCCCCGGGCUUAACCCGGGAAGUGCUUCUGAUACUGCAAGGCUUGAGUACUGGAGAGGAUAGUAGAAUUCCAGGUGUAGUGGUGAAAUACGUAGAUAUCUGGAGGAAUACCGGUGGCGAAGGCGGCUAUCUGGCCAUGUACUGACGCUGAGACACGAAAGCGUGGGGAGCAAACAGG